Mesocricetus auratus (golden hamster) is the source of this 638-nucleotide non-coding RNA. NCBI's taxonomy places the organism in Eukaryota, Metazoa, Chordata, Mammalia, Rodentia, Cricetidae. The record is from the annotation of a RefSeq genome assembly.
GAUCCAGGUGUCCUCUAACUUCUUCUCCAGUAGGACCAGAUACUUAUUUAAAAAUUACCAUUUUCAUGAAUAUGCAAAUCACUUGAAUCUAUGGUGGUAAAUACAGAGAUGUCCACAUCACCCCCAACUUAUGAUCAGUAUCCUCUCUACAGCAACUGAACACACAGGUCCUUACCAUGGGAAGGAGCUGGAUCAUCCUCUUCCUUGUGUCAGUAACUACAGGUGUCCAAUCACAGGUCCAGCUGCAGCAGUCUGGGCCUGAGCUUGGGAAACCUGGUUCCUCAGUGAAGUUGUCAUGCAAGGCUUCUGGCUAUACCUUCAGUAGCUACAACAUGGACUGGGUGAAACAGAGGACUGGGCAGGGCCUGGAGUGGAUUGGAUGGAUUCAUGGUGGAAGUGGCAGUAACAGCUACAAUCAGAAAUUCCAGGGCAAGGCCACGCUGAGUAGAGACAUAUCCUCCAGCACAGCCUACAUGGAGCUCAGCAGCCUGACAUCUGAGGACUCUGCCAUCUAUUUCUGUGCAAGAGACACAGUGGUGCAACCACAUCCUGAGUGUGUCAGAAACCCUGGAGAAGCAGGAAGCUUCACAAGAAUGGAGAUGACAGAGAAGGUCAGUUGGGGAGUUGCUCAGAAAUAA